GACGAACCGUGCGAACGUUGUUCGGAAUCACUGGGCUUAAAGGGCGCGUAGGCGGAUGGUCAAGUCGGUGGUGAAAGCCUCCAGCUUAACUGGAGAAGCGCCGCCGAUACUGACUGUCUCGAGGAAGGUAGGGGCAUGUGGAACUGAGGGUGGAGCGGUGAAAUGCGCAGAUAUCAGGAGGAACACCGGUGGCGAAGGCGGUUCUCUGGGAAUGUCCUGACGCUGAGGAGCGAAAGUGUGGGGAGCGAACAGG
RNAcentral lists this ribosomal RNA (253 nucleotides) under uncultured bacterium. RNAcentral describes it as "partial 16S ribosomal RNA". It matches the Rfam family "Bacterial small subunit ribosomal RNA", at positions 524 to 776 of the family's 1533-position model. The record is from RNAcentral.